AUGCGAUACUUGGUGUGAAUUGCAGAAUCCCGUGAACCAUCGAGUCUUUGAACGCAAGUUGCGCCCUAGGCCAUUAGGCUGAGGGCACGCCUGCCUGGGCGUCACGC
This 107-nucleotide ribosomal RNA is filed under the name Platanus orientalis. Its description in RNAcentral is "partial 5.8S ribosomal RNA". It matches the Rfam family "5.8S ribosomal RNA", at positions 53 to 154 of the family's 154-position model. From Rfam's summary of the family: 5.8S ribosomal RNA (5.8S rRNA) is a component of the large subunit of the eukaryotic ribosome. It is transcribed by RNA polymerase I as part of the 45S precursor that also contains 18S and 28S rRNA. The record is from RNAcentral. Lineage: Eukaryota; Viridiplantae; Streptophyta; Magnoliopsida; Proteales; Platanaceae.